GGCGAACGGGUGAGUAACACGUGGGCAACCUGCCCCUCGCAGGGGGACAACCGGAGGAAACUCCGGCUAAUACCCCGUACGCUUGCUGGAUCGCAUGGUCCGGCAAGGAAAGGUAGCUUCGGCCAUCCGGCGAGGGAUGGGCCCGCGUUGCAUUAGCUAGUUGGUGGGGUAACGGCCUACCAAGGCGACGAUGCGUAGCUGGUCUGAGAGGAUGAUCAGCCACACUGGGACUGAGACACGGCCCAGACUCCUACGGGAGGCAGCAGCCAGGAAUCUUGGGCAAUGGGCGAAAGCCUGACCCAGCAACACCGUGUGGGCGAUGAAGGCCUUAGGGUCGUAAAGCCCUGUUGAUAGGGACGAAGGGCGAAGGGUUAAUAGCCCCUAGCUUGACGGUACCUUUCGAGGAAGCCCCGGCUAACUACGUGCCAGCAGCCGCGGUAAUACGUAGGGGGCGAGCGUUGUCCGGAAUUAUUGGGCGUAAAGAGCGUGUAGGCGGUUCGGUAAGUCUGCUGUGAAAUCCUGGGGCUCAACCCUGGGCGUGCAGCGGAUACUGCCGGGCUAGAGGGUGGUAGAGGCGAGUGGAAUUCCGAGUGUAGCGGUGAAAUGCGCAGAUAUUCGGAGGAACACCAGUAGCGAAGGCGGCUCGCUGGGCCACACCUGACGCUGAGACGCGAAAGCAUGGGGAGCGAACAGGAUUAGAUACCCUGGUAGUCCACGCCGUAAACGAUGGAUACUGGGUGUGGGGGGAGUCGAAUCCCUCUGUGCCGAAGUUAACGCGUUAAGUAUCCCGCCUGGGGAGUACGGCCGCAAGGCUAAAACUCAAAGGAAUUGACGG
This 835-nucleotide ribosomal RNA is filed under the name uncultured bacterium. RNAcentral's name for it is "bacterial SSU rRNA". It matches the Rfam family "Bacterial small subunit ribosomal RNA", at positions 97 to 916 of the family's 1533-position model. The record is from RNAcentral.